GGCCCGGCCCGGAGGCCCCUUGCCCGGCGCAGCCCCCGGCCGACCCCCGUGCGCCGCCGGCGGCCGCCAGCACGGCGCGGAGGUGGGCUAGCGGCGGCGGCGCACGAAAGGUCACCGCGGUGGCAUUCCUCUCCGCGCUGUUUACGUGACUUAAUGUACUCGCUGCGCCGCGGGUAAGUUCGGGCUGCGAUAAGGGGGCGGCCGGGGGAGGGUCGCCGUAAAAGCCCCACGCCGGGCGCCUCCAGCCCUCCCCUCAUCCAUUAACCUUUUUACUUUCUUCUCCGCUCUCUCUCCAAGCCUGUUAUCUAGGCCACCCAAUGACCGACGAAAGAUUUUCCCUCCCUGCUUCUCCCGUGGCCGCUUUAAACCAAAUAAAUUUAGCUAUUAAGGGCCAAGAUGUCUGACAAAAGAUCGAAAGGUGUCUUUCCGUGAUCGCUUAAAGAAGCGAAGGAGAAGCUUGCGGCUCUCAAAUCCCGAUAAAGAAAUUCCGCGCCGGCGCCGGCCUCCCUCCCCGCGGCCUGGUUGCUCCCUGACGCCCUGAGACCCCGACUUCGGCGGCCGCAGACCUCGGACGGGCCCGGCGGGACCUGUGGCUGCCGCCUGGGGAAGGUGGAGGUCCCCGGGCUGCGGGGCCAGGGAGUGCCAGGCCCUAGGAGACGGGCGGACAAGGGGGUCCCCGGGAGCUCUGGAGCUCCAGGUGGGAGCUGGGUAUCCUAAAACGGCCCCCGUGCACUUCGCGGAAAAACUAAGCCAAGCUCAGGGGGCCGAAAUUACCACUCCGUUUUGAUUAUUUUCUGAUACUAAAUAAUAAAGAUAAAACCAAACUGCCCCCACCUACCAUCCCACUCCCUGUAGGUCUGCUAAGGGGCAGUGUGCUGGUCCACGUCGCUGGUCCUGGGGCAGCGCUCCCUUUGAACCCCAGGCUGAAGGUGGUGGGUGGAACUGAGGCUGCCAGGGAAGGUGUGGACUCGCAGAGUAACCGCACGCAGGUGGGAGGCAGAGGUCCAGUCAUUCAGUCAUCCCUCGGCUUGGGUUUGGUUUGAAGUGUGGUAUUUAUUAUCAUUAUUAAUUGCUACUGGCACCACUACAUAAAGCCUAGGGCUGCCAGCUGGGCUGAGGCUCUGCCCCUGGAGUGAUCCCUUCCCUUUCACCAACGGGUGACGGCAGGGAAGAUCCAGUUUCCUGAUCCUGGAUACUAAAAAGUGGGCUUGGGGAGUCAGUUGUGAUGUUUUUGAAGUUUUCUCCUCCCCUUAAGUAAAAAGAGUCCAUAUUCCAGACCAGCAUAAACCUUUUCUACCUUUUUGAAAUAGGACAAGGAGGUGAUGGGGUGGGGGUAAGUUUCAGAUGAGACCCCUUGUCUUCCCUGCAGAGGGCUUUCCCAAGUCUUCUGCCUCCCCCAGUGUGUUCUCUGGCAGAUGCUGGGAGCAGGACUCUCAAUUCCAAAAGGCAGCCCAGGGUCUGCUGUCUGUCCCCUCACACUAGGCUGGGAAGUGGAAGAUGCCUCUCUUUUUUUGUUAUCCCUUCCAAAUAAGGUGAAUGCCAAAAAUCAUACGUCCUAUCUGAUCCGUACCCCACCAGCCUCUGGGGAGGGGAAAAAUUAGAGCAUCAGAGGAAAAGGGAAUAUUUCUGCUCCCAAGAAGGUGAAAGAGAUGGAGAAAUGCCCAACCCACUAGGCAGGGAGGACCUAGGCUCUUCCUGGAUUUUGCUGGUAUCACAAGGUGUGCAGGCCAUGCCAGUUCUAGGGCCAGGGUCCAAAUACGACCGUCCCUGGGCUGUCUCAGCUCAAAGACCUUCCUGACUGUUCAGUAGUUUUUUGGUUUUGUUUUUUCAAAACCAAAAAGCGUGGGACAGGGAUGGCUAAAGGGAAGCAAGAAAAAGAAGAAAUCAGCUUUUGGAGACUUGCUGAAUUACAAAUGCCCCACUUUGAGUCAAUUAAAGGGGCAGAAAGUGCCCAAGAAACAAACAAAAAAAUAACCCAGAAAUAUGACCUCUCCAUACAGCUAUGUUGCAAAUAUGCAGAGAAUUAGGACCAAAGGCUUGUCUACCAGGAUGCAGUCCUCCAGUUCCCUGCCACUUGCCCAAGGCAUACUGAGUAUGCACUGCACGAGGAAGAAAGAGAAGAGUUAGCUCCUAGUUUUGAAGUGUUUACAGUCUAGAAGGUUGGCACCUCUGUAAAGCCGGUUAGGCAAAAUCCCACUUUCCAAGAUGGAAGGAGAUGACCGAGUCUUUUUCCCUUCUCUAGAAAAGUCUAGAUUGCCCUCUAGGCAACCCAGCGGGUUUGAAAAGAAAGGAGUGGCUCAUACACUGAGAGAAUUUCCAGAAGCCAUUGGGCCUGCGCAGGACCCUGGGCCAGGCUGCCUGGGUUUCAAUCCUGAUGCCACCAUUUACUAGCUAUGUGAUCAUGGCAAAUAGCCCAACCUCUCUGUGCCACAGUUUCUUCAUCUGCAAAAUGGGGAUAAUAAAAGUACUCCCAUUACGGGAUUGCUAAGAGGAUGAAAAGAUUUCUUACAUGUAAACUGCUAAUAGUACCUGGCACAUAGUAAGUGCUAUAUAAAUGUUAUUACUAAUAUCUAUUGUAGUAGACUUUCAUAUACUACACCAAAUUUCGAUUUCUUGUUUGGCCCAACUGUCCCCAGGAGCAAGAUUAAUUCCCAGUAAAUAACUUCUUUGAGCACUCAUUCAGUUGGGACCUGUGAUUCACCAGAGGUCUCAAGCCUUUUCUAUGUACCAGCAGUGAGGACUUUAUUUAUUGCAUUAUGGUAGGAAAGGAGGUGAAGGGUGAGACAAACAUAGGUUCUUUACUUGUCUUUGGUUCCUUUGAAGAGGAGACAUCCCUUGUUCCCCUUGCAAAUGCCAGCAACAGAUCUUCUGCAAUAUCUUCUACAGGACAAAGACAGUAAUCUUGAGGCUCCUCCUCUGCUCCAACAAAAGAAUCCCUGUCCCAGCAGCACCCCUUCCUGGGAACCUCUUUCUGGCAGUAGACAGGAGUGAAUUAAGAGACCACUAAGAAGGGCAACCUUGAGGACUGGCAUUAGAUAUUAGCAGGGGCGGGGGGUGGGGGAAGAACUAAUUAAA
RNAcentral lists this long non-coding RNA (3075 nucleotides) under Homo sapiens (human). Its description in RNAcentral is "non-protein coding GATA6-AS1:28". The record is from RNAcentral. Lineage: Eukaryota; Metazoa; Chordata; Mammalia; Primates; Hominidae.